GCCCCCUUAGCUUAAUGGAUAAAGCAGCUGCCUUCGAAGCAGUUGAUAGAGGUUCGAUUCCUCUAGGGGGCA
This 72-nucleotide transfer RNA is filed under the name Elusimicrobiota bacterium. Its description in RNAcentral is "Elusimicrobia bacterium (anaerobic digester metagenome) tRNA-Arg". It matches the Rfam family "tRNA". From Rfam's summary of the family: Transfer RNA (tRNA) molecules are approximately 80 nucleotides in length. The record is from RNAcentral. Lineage: Bacteria; Pseudomonadati; Elusimicrobiota.